GAUGAACGCUGGCGGCGUGCCUAAUACAUGCAAGUCGAGCGAACGGACGAGAAGCUUGCUUCUCUGAUGUUAGCGGCGGACGGGUGAGUAACACGUGGAUAACCUACCUAUAAGACUGGGAUAACUUCGGGAAACCGGAGCUAGUACCGGAUAAUAUUUUGAACCGCAUGGUUCAAAAGUAAAAGACGGUCUUGCUGUCACUUAUAGAUGGAUCCGCGCUGCAUUAGCUAGUUGGUAAGGUAACGGCUUACCAAGGCAACGAUGCAUAGCCGACCUGAGAGGGUGAUCGGCCACACUGGAACUGAGACACGGUCCAGACUCCUACGGGAGGCAGCAGUAGGGAAUCUUCCGCAAUGGGCGAAAGCCUGACGGAGCAACGCCGCGUGAGUGAUGAAGGUCUUCGGAUCGUAAAACUCUGUUAUUAGGGAAGAACAUAUGUGUAAGUAACUGUGCACAUCUUGACGGUACCUAAUCAGAAAGCCACGGCUAACUACGUG
RNAcentral lists this ribosomal RNA (497 nucleotides) under uncultured bacterium. Its description in RNAcentral is "partial 16S ribosomal RNA". It matches the Rfam family "Bacterial small subunit ribosomal RNA", at positions 28 to 507 of the family's 1533-position model. The record is from RNAcentral.